Molecule: ribosomal RNA, 86 nt
Filed under: Acidimicrobiaceae bacterium
Lineage: Bacteria; Bacillati; Actinomycetota; Acidimicrobiia; Acidimicrobiales; Acidimicrobiaceae
Description: partial 23S ribosomal RNA
Rfam family: Bacterial large subunit ribosomal RNA
Source: RNAcentral
CACCACGUUGAUAGGCCGGAAGUGUAAGCACAGCAAUGUGUUCAGCUGACCGGUACUAAUCGGCCGAGGGCUUGGUUUCACCAUUC